RNAcentral lists this unclassified non-coding RNA (373 nucleotides) under soil metagenome. RNAcentral describes it as "partial contains 5.8S ribosomal RNA, internal transcribed spacer 2, and large subunit ribosomal RNA". The stretch from base 1 to 120 matches the Rfam family "5.8S ribosomal RNA", at positions 35 to 154 of the family's 154-position model. The record is from RNAcentral.
GAUGAAGAACGCAGCGGAAUGCGAUAAGUAAUGUGAAUUGCAGAAUUCAGUGAAUCAUCGAAUCUUUGAACGCACAUUGCGCCCGCCAGUAUUCUGGCGGGCAUGCCUGUUCGAGCGUCAUUUCAACCCUCAAGUCCCCUGUGGACUCGGUGUUGGGGACCGGCGAGACAGCCGCGGAUCUUCUUCCGCAGCGAGUCGCCGCCCCCCAAAUGACUUGGCGGCCUCGUCGCGGCCCUCCUCUGCGUAGUAUAGCACACCUCGCAACAGGAGCCCGGCGAAUGGCCACUGCCGUAAAACCCCCCAACUUUUUCAGAGUUGACCUCGAAUCAGGUAGGAAUACCCGCUGAACUUAAGCAUAUCAAUAAGCGGAGGA